ACUCAAAUGAAUAGACGGGGACUUGCACAAGCGGUGGACCAUGUGGUUUAAUUCGACGAUAAACGAAGAACCUUACCAGGGUUUAAUCUAGCUGAAGACAAGAAGAAACUUUUGUCGCCGCAAGGCAGUUAGACAGGUGAUGCAUGGCCGUCGUCAGUUCGUGGUUUGAAUUGUUCCCUUCAGUGGGGUAACGAACGCAACCCUCGUUGUCUGUUAUAUUUUUUCAGGCGAGACUGCCCACGACAUAGCGCAUAUAUCGGUUUGAUCCGAUUGUGCUCUGCGUCGUGGGAGGAAGGUGAGGAUGACGCCAGGUCAGCAUGUCCCUUAUACCCUGGGCUACACACGUGGUACAAUGCCUACUACAACGGGGCGCAAUGUCGCAAGACGGAGCAAAUCCUUAUAAAGUAGGCCCAGUUCGGAUUGAAGUCUGCAACUCGACUUCAUGAAGUUGGAAUCGCUAGUAAUCGCGGGUCAGCCACACCGCGGUGAAUACGUUCUCAAGUCUUGUACACACCGCCCGU
Molecule: ribosomal RNA, 521 nt
Filed under: uncultured bacterium
Lineage: Bacteria
Description: partial 16S ribosomal RNA
Rfam family: Bacterial small subunit ribosomal RNA
Source: RNAcentral